RNAcentral lists this transfer RNA (78 nucleotides) under Aquirufa antheringensis. Its description in RNAcentral is "Cytophagaceae bacterium 30S-ANTBAC tRNA-Val". It matches the Rfam family "tRNA". From Rfam's summary of the family: Transfer RNA (tRNA) molecules are approximately 80 nucleotides in length. Their secondary structure includes four short double-helical elements and three loops (D, anti-codon, and T loops). Lineage: Bacteria; Pseudomonadati; Bacteroidota; Cytophagia; Cytophagales; Flectobacillaceae. The record is from RNAcentral.
GGUCCUAUAGCUCAGCUGGUUCAGAGCACCUGCCUUACAAGCAGGGGGUCCUAGGUUCGAAUCCUAGUGGGACCACAA